Molecule: ribosomal RNA, 393 nt
Filed under: uncultured bacterium
Lineage: Bacteria
Description: partial 16S ribosomal RNA
Rfam family: Bacterial small subunit ribosomal RNA
Source: RNAcentral
AUACGGAGGAUGCGAGCGUUAUCCGGAUUUAUUGGGUUUAAAGGGUGCGCAGGCGGGCGAUUAAGUCAGCGGUGAAAGGCUCGGGCUCAACCGGAGCAGUGCCGUUGAUACUGGUUGUCUUGAAUGCGGUCAAGGCCGGCGGAAUGUGGCGUGGAGCGGUGAAAUGCAUAGAUAUGCCAAAGAACACCGAUAGCGAAGGCAGCUGGCCGGGCCUGCAUUGACGCUCAGGCACGAAAGCGUGGGGAUCGAACAGGAUUAGAUACCCUGGUAGUCCACGCUGUAAACGAUGGACACUCGUUGUCGGCGACAGACAGUCGGCGGCCAAGCGAAAGUGAUAAGUGUCCCACCUGGGGAGUACGGUCGCAAGGCUGAAACUCAAAUGAAUUGACGGGG